Molecule: long non-coding RNA, 938 nt
Filed under: Equus asinus (donkey)
Lineage: Eukaryota; Metazoa; Chordata; Mammalia; Perissodactyla; Equidae
Description: lncRNA (ENSEASG00005035900.1)
Source: RNAcentral
UCCAGUGCACAAUUCCUCGCAAAUGUUGAAAACGACACAUCACGUCACACUUGUGACUGAGGAAGCAGGAAAGGGGACACAGGACCGGCGGGAAUGUUGAGAUGGGAGGAUUUAAGAACUGCUGGAGUUCAGAGGUGCUUGGAGAACUCCUUUCCUCUGAAUGUUUAAACUUGGAUUCUGAGUUUACUUUACAAACAAUGGAUCCCAGGCUCACAAGCAUCCUGGCCGAAAAUGCUGAUGAGUCAGAAGAAAGCACCCAGCUGGGGUAUUUCCAAGUAAAGUCCUUGAUGUCAGGCCUGAGUGGGGAGUUCCUCCCACCCCGGGGGAUGCUUCCGGCACUGGAGGAGGUGAAACUUCCAUGGUGGGGCUGUGGGGCUGCCCUGAGCGGGGAGAUUCAGCUGGCUUCCUCCCAGGGGCGGGGAGCAGACAUGCUGUUAAAACACGCUCAGGUUGAUGGGGAACUUCUGCUUGAACAAGGUCGAGGUGAUUAUGGGGUCACUCUUGCUGCGACAGACAUUUACACAGGUGCCAGACGGCCAGCCCCUCUCGGCUCUGUUGUCGAGCUCCCAGCCCGCGUUUCCUGGCCACGUCAACAGAUGGUUCUCUGAAGCUGGCUGGAGAAGAAAGACCUCUUGAUGCAGGCAGCUGUCAGGAGCACGAGGCUGGGAGCCCGGGAGCCCCAUAGACCAGGGCCUGAGUCCCUGCUCUGGUUUCCAGAAUCCACAUUCAAACCACGGGAUGAAGUUGAAAUGAGGAGCAUGAUGGGGAGUGUCUGUGAAGUUCCACCACCAUGUUGUCGAGGUGUAUUCAAACCUCUCAGUUAAAAAGUAGUACCAGGCACUGUUCCUAUCCCACUGCUGAAAGUUUCAUUUGGAUCAAAAUUAUAGUCAUAGAACUGACAGAUGUGAGUGAGUGUUUUCAGACGAGAACAGAAUGAG